CAACGCGAAGAACCUUACCAGGUCUUGACAUCCCUCUGAAUCCUCUAGAGAUAGAGGCGGCCUUCGGGACAGAGGAGACAGGUGGUGCAUGGUUGUCGUCAGCUCGUGUCGUGAGAUGUUGGGUUAAGUCCCGCAACGAGCGCAACCCUUGAUCUUAGUUGCCAGCAUUUCGGAUGGGCACUCUAAGGUGACUGCCGGUGACAAACCGGAGGAAGGUGGGGAUGACGUCAAUCAUCAUGCCCCUUAUGACCUGGGCUACACACGUACUACAAUGGCCGGUACAACGGGCUGCGAAACCGCGAGGUGGAGCCAAUCCUAGAAAAGCCGGUCUCAGUUCGGAUUGCAGGCUGCAGCUCGCCUGCAUGAAGUCGGAAUUGCUAGUAAUCGCGGAUCAGCAUGCCGCGGUGAAUACGUUCCCGGGUCUUGUACGCACCGCCCGUCACACCACGAGAGUUUACAACACCCGAAGUCGGUGGGGUAACCGCAAGGAGCCAGCCGCCGAAGGUGG
RNAcentral lists this ribosomal RNA (508 nucleotides) under uncultured bacterium. Its description in RNAcentral is "bacterial SSU rRNA". It matches the Rfam family "Bacterial small subunit ribosomal RNA", at positions 957 to 1465 of the family's 1533-position model. The record is from RNAcentral.